UGGGGAAUUUUGGACAAUGGGCGCAAGCCUGAUCCAGCCAUGCCGCGUGCAGGAUGAAGGCCUUCGGGUUGUAAACUGCUUUUGUACGGAACGAAAAGGUGCCUUCUAAUAAAGGGCGCUCAUGGCGGUACCGUAAGAAUAAGCACCGGCUAACUACGUGCCAGCAGCCGCGGUAAUACGUAGGGUGCGAGCGGUAAUCGGAAUUACUGGGCGUAAAGCGUGCGCAGGCGGUUUUGUAAGACAGAGGUGAAAUCCCCGGGCUCAACCUGGGAACUGCCUCUGUGACUGCAAGGCUGGAGUGCGGCAGAGGGGGAUGGAAUUCCGCGUGUAGCAGUGAAAUGCGUAGAUAUGCGGAGGAACACCGAUGGCGAAGGCAAUCCCCUGGGCCUGCACUGACGCUCAUGCACGAAAGCGUGGGGAGCAAACA
This 427-nucleotide ribosomal RNA is filed under the name uncultured bacterium. Its description in RNAcentral is "bacterial SSU rRNA". It matches the Rfam family "Bacterial small subunit ribosomal RNA", at positions 355 to 774 of the family's 1533-position model. The record is from RNAcentral.